GGUCUGGUGGUCUAGUGGUAUGAUUCGCGCUUAGGGAUUACUCUGAGUUAAUUGCGCGAGGUCCGUAAGUAUAUACUCAUCUAAAUCAAACCAACCAAACAAUAAAUUCUAACAACAUCACAGCGGGUUCAAUCCCCGGCCAGACCC
Molecule: non-coding RNA, 147 nt
Organism: Cytospora paraplurivora
Lineage: Eukaryota; Fungi; Ascomycota; Sordariomycetes; Diaporthales; Cytosporaceae
Source: the annotation of a GenBank genome assembly